RNAcentral lists this long non-coding RNA (995 nucleotides) under Cucumis sativus (cucumber). Its description in RNAcentral is "long non-coding RNA (CSAT_LNC001047)". The record is from RNAcentral. Lineage: Eukaryota; Viridiplantae; Streptophyta; Magnoliopsida; Cucurbitales; Cucurbitaceae.
CCAUAUCCCACGAUUUUUUUUCAUUUAGAUAUUUGUUAUAAAUCAAUUAAAUAAUAGAAAUGGGUAUUAAAAUAAUUUGAGCUUACAUUUAUGUAAUAUACUAGUUCAUUUAGGACUUUUAUGAAAUUUAUUAGUAAUUUGGAUCCUUCAUGUAAUAUCAUAUAGCAAUUUAGGUUAUAUGAGUUAAAGACCCUUUUCAUAAUCCUUUCAAAUCCUUUUCACUGUGCACCCUUGAAACCGUGUAAUCUUUCAUCCUUCCCUUCUCCGUCCAACCUCGUCUUCUUCCUUCCUCACCGUUUAUGUCUUCAUUUUCUCCUCCAAAUCUUCUGUUUUCUCCUCCAAAUCUUCUAUUUUCUCCUCCAAAUCUUCCCAUUUUACUCACCUCAUUUUCUCUUUGUAGCUGCGAAGAUAGACAGAGAGACGAAGUUAAAGAUACAAUUCCACUCACUGUCUAUCUGUCGAAAUUAAUCUUCGAAACCUAACAUCCUCCAUUUUUAAUCCUUUUUUUUUUUUUUGCGUUCAUCAUUUCUCCUUCUUUCUCUCUUUAAAUCUCUUUUUUUUCUUCUCUCAUCCCUCUCUGUUUUACUCAAUAACUUGGUUGCAUCUAUGGAGUUUUGCAGGCAGAACGGUGAUAAGGUGGUGGCAAUGGUCUUCGUGGAAGCAAAUUUGCUAACCUUUGAGGUUAAAUGGGAUUUUCUUGGCAAAUUUAUUUGUGAAUUAGAACCUACUUUUUCUAGAAAACAAAGAGUGAGAGAGAUGGUAGAUGCUGUGUGUUUGGAGCUCUGUUUUGGGAUGAGAUUUUGUUUAUAUUAUGAAAAUCUGAAAAAUACUGAUCUGUUGAGUGUUUUUUGGUAUUUUUAGUACGAUAGAGGAAUGUAUAACUAAUUUUUUUUAUGGAUACAUGGCAGAAAACCUUUGUUAUAACUUAUCAUUAAUAAUUAUGUUUGUUAUUGAUCUUUAAUUUGAAAGAAUGAUGAGAAAUAGAAAAAUUCAAU